AAGAAAAAAUAAUAAAUAUAUUAUAUCAUCAAGUUGAUAACUUGUCGAGAUAGAAGAGACAUAAUUUUUAUGCAUUAUAUACACUUAUAAAUAGUUGAACAUGUCUAAUUCAAAAAUUUGUUUACCCACUUGACUAACUCCCACAUAACAACAACAACAAUUACCCAGUGUACUCCCACCAGGUGGGGUCUUGGGAGGGUAAUAUAUAGACGAGCCUUACCCCUGCCCGAAAGGGCAGAGAGGCUGCUUCCAAUCNNN
This 258-nucleotide long non-coding RNA is filed under the name Nicotiana benthamiana. RNAcentral describes it as "long non-coding RNA (NBEN_LNC025976)". The record is from RNAcentral. Lineage: Eukaryota; Viridiplantae; Streptophyta; Magnoliopsida; Solanales; Solanaceae.